This 387-nucleotide ribosomal RNA is filed under the name uncultured bacterium. RNAcentral's name for it is "bacterial SSU rRNA". It matches the Rfam family "Bacterial small subunit ribosomal RNA", at positions 28 to 418 of the family's 1533-position model. The record is from RNAcentral.
GACGAACGCUGGCGGCGUGCUUAACACAUGCAAGUCGAACGGAAAGGCCCUUCGGGGUACUCGAGUGGCGAACGGGUGAGUAACACGUGAACAAUCUGCCCUCAGCUCUGGGAUAACUGUCGGAAACGAUUGCUAAUACCGGAUAUGACGCUUCGCCGCAUGGUGGGGUGUGUAAAGUUUUUCGGUCUGGAGAUGAGUUCGCGGCCUAUCAGCUUGUUGGUGGGGUAAGUGGCCUACCAAGGCGUCGACGGGUAGCCGGCCUGAGAGGGCGACCGGCCACACUGGGACUGAGACACGGCCCAGACUCCUACGGGAGGCAGCAGUGGGGAAUAUUGCACAAUGGGCGGAAGCCUGAUGCAGCGACGCCGCGUGAGGGAUGACGGCCUC